GAACGAACGCUGGCGGCAGGCUUAACACAUGCAAGUCGAGCGCACUCUUUUAGAGUGAGCGGCAGACGGGUGAGUAACGCGUGGGAAUCUACCCAGAUCUACGGAAUAACACAGAGAAAUUUGUGCUAAUACCGUAUACGCCCUACGGGGGAAAGAUUUAUCGGAUUUGGAUGAGCCCGCGUUGGAUUAGCUAGUUGGUAGGGUAAAGGCCUACCAAGGCGACGAUCCAUAGCUGGUCUGAGAGGAUGAUCAGCCACACUGGGACUGAGACACGGCCCAGACUCCUACGGGAGGCAGCAGUGGGGAAUAUUGGACAAUGGGGGCAACCCUGAUCCAGCCAUGCCGCGUGAGUGAUGAAGGCCUUAGGGUUGUAAAGCUCUUUCACCGGUGAAGAUAAUGACGGUAACCGGAGAAGAAGCCCCGGCUAACUUCGUGCCAGCGCCAGCGUUCGUU
RNAcentral lists this ribosomal RNA (453 nucleotides) under uncultured bacterium. RNAcentral's name for it is "bacterial SSU rRNA". It matches the Rfam family "Bacterial small subunit ribosomal RNA", at positions 27 to 525 of the family's 1533-position model. The record is from RNAcentral.